CCAAUAAGAGGUCCCUAGGUCCAGAGGUCCAAACCCUUCAGUUCUAUCAUCCAACCGUGGCUUUAUCUUCAAUUAACCCUCCUACUUCACUUCUGGCCUUUCUCUGGUUGUGUUUUGUACUACUCCCACAGCAAAAAAAUUUAUCCAACUAUAACAUCCCUACCUUUUAUGGAUAAGGAACGCAUUCCCCACUAUUGGCGGUUGUAAUAUGAUGGCAUCGUUUGGCUGUAAUAGAAAAGGAAAAGUUCGGAAGAGACCAGGAAUCAAGAUGAAACCUUAGCUUUCGAUGUGGGACCAACUUAGGGAGAUAAGGAUCGUGCGGAAGAAUCAAUCAGACAGGCAAACUAUUUCUUUUAGAAAAAUUUGACAUCUAAUCCUCUACUUUUUGACGUUACCAAUCAUCUAAUAUUACUUUUGAGAAAGACUGUUUUCAAUUUGUCUUAAACUAAUGAUACCUAAUUCGAAUUCGUCAGGAAACGAAACGGUGACGUUUUAAACAACCUUGGUCAUCGUGCCAAUGGUUGCAUAGCUAUCCGUGCCAUGCACAACACACCCUCCCAAAUUCCGACACGUAUCGAGAAAAGUGCCAUCCAUAAUAGCCACGUGGCAAGGACGUGCCUUGUCAUCGGAAGCGUUCACGAGCAUCCACGUGUAAAUAUUCAUAAAUCAUAAGCCGUCCGCUUGAUCCAAGCGAUGAAGUUAACUUAGCCUCAACAAGUUGAAUCUCAUCAACCAUCUAGAAGCUCGCCACGUGGC
Molecule: long non-coding RNA, 756 nt
Filed under: Vitis vinifera (wine grape)
Lineage: Eukaryota; Viridiplantae; Streptophyta; Magnoliopsida; Vitales; Vitaceae
Description: long non-coding RNA (VVIN_LNC002046)
Source: RNAcentral